This 1239-nucleotide long non-coding RNA is filed under the name Cyanistes caeruleus (blue tit). RNAcentral describes it as "lncRNA (ENSCCEG00000006717.1)". The record is from RNAcentral. Lineage: Eukaryota; Metazoa; Chordata; Aves; Passeriformes; Paridae.
CAGAGCCCCCUCAGGGGCGGGCGGGGGCUGCGCCGGGAGCCGCGGUGGCGACCGAGGGCACGGGGACGGCCUCCGGUGGCAGCGGCACCCGCGGGGGCACCCCCGACCGGGACGCUCGGGGGUGCACGCCCAGUGGCACACGAACGGGCCCCUGCAGCGCGCAGAUGCCCCCGGCACAGAGCGGGCGGAAAGGUCCCGGCGUCCAGGCCGGACGUGGGCGAAAGGCACAGGGGGUCCAGGCCGCCUGGGUUCCCCCACCGCAGCACCCCGGCGGUGGUGCCCGUCAGGUCCCUUGGGAAAAGCUGCCCGGUUUCAGGUGCUGAACCCAAAUUCUGCCGGGCAGGAGGGUGGGAAGCGCCAAAGGCAGAGGAGCAGCCGUCCGACUGCUUUGUGUUCCUCGGGAUGCUCGGUGGGAUUUGGCCCUUCUGCAGGUGGAUCCAGAUGUCACACCUGGGUUUGCUGACCUGCUGUCGACCUGUUUGCUCGGCACUCGGGAGCCAUCCCAGCCCUACCGACUCCCGUGCUGAUCCCAAGUAGGAAUAAGAGAUUGAUGCUGUGUUUGGAAUUGGCCGAACCGCCUCCCAAGCCAGCAAUAGCUAGGUCCUGGCUUUGUAGAUAAAGGAAUGUGAGAACAUAACGAGCACAUCAGCCUUGUACCGAGUUCAGAUUAAGCACAGCAAAACCACCAGCACAGCCGCCAUUUAGUCAGAAAGAAAGAAACAUUUGGGGUCAAAGUGACAUUAUCUCACAUGGCACAAGAAGCUGGGCACCUGCUAAACACACCCAGAUAUGGUCUGCAAGGAAACGAAGUGGAGAUACAUAUUGCAGCGAGUCACUGGAGAGCCAACGCAGCCUUCUGGGAAGGACAAGCCCAGCCUGCUGUCCCCACUCUCUCAGGUAUCCCCAGCUCUCCCAUUCCAGGAAGGAUCUGGAGCAAGAGAGCAGCUGUCUGUCUGGAGACCCUGGAGCAUCCUUGUGAUGUGUCUGCUUGAAGCUGUGCUUGGCCCUGGAUUCUCCAGCUGCAGAGGGAGGUGCAGAAGAGCUUUGGAAACCUUCUUACAGCAAUGGAAAACAGGAAUGUGCAUGCUGAGUUUUACCUCUGCUUGGGAAGACAUGUCCUGCAUGACUGAACUCAAGGCUGUUGCUGGUUCAGGAACAAAGCAGAGCAGAGACAAGGCUUUGCCACUUUCUCCCCUUCCCCCUUGCAUUCACCUCAUCUACAAAACCAGCUCUGCCUGA